GAUGAACGCUGGCGGCGUGCCUAAUACAUGCAAGUCGAGCGAACAGACGAGGAUCUUGCUCCUCUGACGUUAGCGGCGGACGGGUGAGUAACACGUGGAUAACCUACCUAUAAGACUGGCAUAACUUCGGGAAACCGGAGCUAAUACCGGAUAAUAUAUUGAACCGCAUGGUUCAAUAGUGAAAGACGGUUUUGCUGUCACUUAUAGAUGGAUCCUCGCCGCAUUAGCUAGUUGGUAAGGUAACGGCUUACCAAGGCAACGAUGCGUAGCCGAUCUGAGAGGAUGAUCGGCCACACUGGAACUGAGACACGGUCCAGACUCCUACGGGAGGCAGCAGUAGGGAAUCUUCCGCAAUGGGCGAAAGCCUGACGGAGCAACGCCGCGUGAGUGAUGAAGGUCUUCGGAUCGUAAAACUCUGUUAUUAGGGAAGAACAAAUGUGUAAGUAACUAUGCACGUCUUGACGGUACCUACUCAGAAAGCCACGGCUAACUACGUG
RNAcentral lists this ribosomal RNA (497 nucleotides) under uncultured bacterium. RNAcentral describes it as "partial 16S ribosomal RNA". It matches the Rfam family "Bacterial small subunit ribosomal RNA", at positions 28 to 507 of the family's 1533-position model. The record is from RNAcentral.